GAUGAACGCUGGCGGCGUGCCUAAUACAUGCAAGUCGAGCGAACGGACGAGAAGCUUGCUUCUCUGAUGUUAGCGGCGGACGGGUGAGUAACACGUGGAUAACCUACCUAUAAGACUGGGAUAACUUCGGGAAACCGGAACUAAUACCGGAUGAUAUUUUGAACCGCAUGGUUCAAAAGUGAAAGACGGUCUUGCUGUCACUUAUAGAUGGAUCCGCGCUGCAUUAGCUAGUUGGUAAGGUAACGGCUUACCAAGGCAACGAUGCAUAGCCGACCUGAGAGGGUGAUCGGCCACACUGGAACUGAGACACGGUCCAGACUUCUACGGGAGGCAGCAGUAGGGAAUCUUCCGCAAUGGGCGAAAGCCUGACGGAGCAACGCCGCGUGAGUGAUGAAGGUCUUCGGAUCGUAAAACUCUGUUAUUAGGGAAGAACAUAUGUGUAAGUAACUGUGCACAUCUUGACGGUACCUAAUCAGAAAGCCACGGCUAACUACGUG
This 497-nucleotide ribosomal RNA is filed under the name uncultured bacterium. RNAcentral's name for it is "partial 16S ribosomal RNA". It matches the Rfam family "Bacterial small subunit ribosomal RNA", at positions 28 to 507 of the family's 1533-position model. The record is from RNAcentral.